AUGGAGCAAGUGGCAGUGCCCCUUUAAAGCCCCAGAGGCUUGUGUGCCUUUCUUUUUCUUAAGAAGGGUCAGUGGGCUGUACUUGCCAUAAGCUGGGGAGAGGAGAUGUAGUGUGUUUGUCUGGGGGUUUGGAGGUGCACUUCCAGCCCCCAUCGAUUGGAAACCUCCACCCUACCAUCCUCGCUGGAUUGAGAGUUUUGGAUCAGUUCUGGAAGCGCAUCAGUAUCGGAGAAUCAGAUUGGCCAAGGAAGGAACCUGAGCCCCAGGUGCAUCAUGGGAGACCCGGCCCCCUGGCCCAUCCCCGCCUCUCUAAGGACAUCUUGGUGUGGACAGGACUGGACAGAAUGGAAGCCACAGCGCAGCCCCGAACCGGACCACCCGGUCUCACAGACAGUGGAGGAAGGACCAGCUACUCACCGGAUGCCAUGGACACUGAUAAACUGCACUGGCCCCACGGAGAGGAAAUUUGUUGACACGAGGCUGCUGCCCCCUGGCCACCCCCUUCCUGCCCCCUAGCCUGCAACUGUAUCCCCUCCUUCCAGACAGUGCCAUUUCCUUUGGGGGGAGUUGAGGGUCAAACACUGCAUCAUGGGUGCCAAAUCAAUCCCUUGCAACUCCAGGAGGGUAUGGAGGUGUGUGCAUGUGUGUGUGCCUCAUGCGUGGGAGCGAGGGCCGGGACCGGAGCAGGGUCAGAGGGGCCGCCGCUCCUGGGCCGGGUAAAGGGUUAUGGAAACAGGGGUCUAGAGUUUGGGGCCGGUACUCCGUGGGUGGAUCCGAGCGGGAGUGAGGUCGCACCGGCGCCCUUAAUUCUAUAGUCAGUGCGACAUCCUCCUUGCCUGUUCUGCCCUGUGGGAGUUUCCUGCCUAACUCAGGCUUCAAGAGUACAGGCUCCCUUUCCCGUCCAGGGGGGUGCCCCUGGGGGAGUGGGUGUAGGGACAGGUUGAGUCAAGGUGUGCGUGUGUCUGUCUGUCUCUGUAUGUAUGUAUGUGUGACUACCCUUGUCUUCCAUCCCUCCUGGAUGAGCAGAAAGAGGGGUGGAGAGAACUAACAGCAAAUUCUAGAGUGGGAAGAUGCAAAGUGGUUUCCCCCAUCCUACCAACAGAAAUGGCACUGUCUGGCCCCCUUCUCUCCCCUUCCUCUCCUCCUCCCAUCUCUGUCCCCUUGGCAGCCUGGGAUCUGUAAGCCCAAAUGUCUCUGUUUGGAAUAAAAUGUAUACGUUCUUCAUCA
Molecule: long non-coding RNA, 1227 nt
Organism: Ornithorhynchus anatinus (platypus)
Lineage: Eukaryota; Metazoa; Chordata; Mammalia; Monotremata; Ornithorhynchidae
Exons: 4
Source: RefSeq, a predicted model, not a curated record